This 909-nucleotide ribosomal RNA is filed under the name Candidatus Methanoplasma sp. Its description in RNAcentral is "bacterial SSU rRNA". It matches the Rfam family "Archaeal small subunit ribosomal RNA", at positions 1 to 914 of the family's 1478-position model. Lineage: Archaea; Methanobacteriati; Thermoplasmatota; Thermoplasmata; Methanomassiliicoccales; Methanomassiliicoccaceae. The record is from RNAcentral.
ACUCCGGUUGAUCCUGCCGGCGGCCACCGCUAUAGGAAUUCGAUUAAGACAUGCGAGUCGAGAGUCGUCAUGGACUCGGCGGACUGCUCAGUAACACGUGGAUAACGUGCCCUUAGGUGGGGGAUAAUCUCGGGAAAUUGAGAAUAAUACCCCAUAGGUCAUGGGAUCUGGAAUGACCCAUGGCCAAAAGUUCCGGCGCCUAAGGAUCGGUCUGCGGCCUAUCAGGUAGUAGUGGGUGUAACGUACCUACUAGCCUACGACGGGUAUGGGCCUUGAGAGAGGGAGCCCAGAGUUGGAUUCUGAGACACGAAUCCAGGCCCUACGGGGCGCAGCAGUCGCGAAAACUUCACAAUGGGGGCAACCCCGAUGAGGGACUUCCUAGUGCUAGCACAUUAGUGUUAGCUUUUCUUUAGCAUAGAUAACUAGAGGAAUAAGGGCUGGGUAAGACGGGUGCCAGCCGCCGCGGUAAUACCUGCAGCCCAAGUGGUGGUCGAUAUUAUUGAGUCUAAAACGUUCGUAGCCGGUUUAGUAAAUCCUUGGGUAAAUCGGGAAGCUUAACUUUCCGAAUUCCGAGGAGACUGCUAAACUUGGGACCGGGAGAGGCUAGAGGUACUUCUGGGGUAGGGGUAAAAUCCUGUAAUCCUAGAAGGACCACCGGUGGCGAAGGCGUCUAGCUAGAACGGAUCCGACGGUGAGGGACGAAGCCCUGGGUCGCAAACGGGAUUAGAUACCCCGGUAGUCCAGGGUGUAAACGCUGCAGACUUGGUGUUGGAGACCCUUUGGGGGUAUUCAGUGCCGGAGAGAAGUUGUUAAGUCUGCUACUUGGGGAGUACGUCCGCAAGGAUGAAACUUAAAGGAAUUGGCGGGGGAGCACCGCAACGGGAGGAGCGUGCGGUUUAAUUGGAUUCA